ACCUGGCUGGCUCAGUUGGUGGAGCAUGUGACUCUCAAUCUCAGGGUUGUGAGUUCAAGCUCCACGUUAAAUA
This 73-nucleotide transfer RNA is filed under the name Felis catus (domestic cat). It matches the Rfam family "tRNA". Rfam says of the family: Transfer RNA (tRNA) molecules are approximately 80 nucleotides in length. Their secondary structure includes four short double-helical elements and three loops (D, anti-codon, and T loops). Further hydrogen bonds mediate the characteristic L-shaped molecular structure. tRNAs have two regions of fundamental functional importance: the anti-codon, which is responsible for specific mRNA codon recognition, and the 3' end, to which the tRNAs corresponding amino acid is attached (by aminoacyl-tRNA synthetases). tRNAs cope with the degeneracy of the genetic code in two manners: having more than one tRNA (with a specific anti-codon) for a particular amino acid; and 'wobble' base-pairing, i.e. permitting non-standard base-pairing at the 3rd anti-codon position. The record is from Rfam by way of RNAcentral. Lineage: Eukaryota; Metazoa; Chordata; Mammalia; Carnivora; Felidae.